This 440-nucleotide ribosomal RNA is filed under the name uncultured bacterium. Its description in RNAcentral is "partial 16S ribosomal RNA". It matches the Rfam family "Bacterial small subunit ribosomal RNA", at positions 338 to 795 of the family's 1533-position model. The record is from RNAcentral.
CCUACGGGUGGCAGCAGUGGGGAAUAUUGCACAAUGGGGGAAACCCUGAUGCAGCGACGCCGCGUGAGUGAAGAAGUAUUUCGGUAUGUAAAGCUCUAUCAGCAGGGAAGAAAAUGACGGUACCUGACUAAGACGCCCCGGCUAACUACGUGCCAGCAGCCGCGGUACUACGUAGGGGGCAAGCGUUAUCCGGAUUUACUUGGUUUAAAGGGAACUGAGGCGGCGGAAUAAGUCAUAAUGGAAAACCCGGGGCUUAACCCUGGGAGUGCUUUGGAAACUGUUUGGCUUGAGUGCAGGAGAGGUAAGCGGAAUUCCUAGUGUAGCGGUGAAAUGCGUAGAUAUUAGGAGGAACACCAGUGGCGAAGGCGGCUUACUGGACUGUAACUGACGUUGAGGCUCGAAAGCGUGGGGAGCAAACAGGAUUAGAUACCCGGGGAGUC